CUUAGAGUUUGAAUCAUGGCUCAGGAUGAACGCUGGCGGCGUGCCUAAUACAUGCAAGUCGAGCGAACAGACAAGGAGCUUGCUCCUUUGACGUUAGCGGCGGACGGGUGAGUAACACGUGGGUAACCUACCUAUAAGACUGGGAUAACUUCGGGAAACCGGAGCUAAUACCGGAUAAUAUUUCGAACCGCAUGGUUCGAUAGUGAAAGAUGGUUUUGCUAUCACUUAUAGAUGGACCCGCGCCGUAUUAGCUAGUUGGUAAGGUAACGGCUUACCAAGGCGACGAUACGUAGCCGACCUGAGAGGGUGAUCGGCCACACUGGAACUGAGACACGGUCCAGACUCCUACGGGAGGCAGCAGUAGGGAAUUUCCGCAAUGGGCGAAAGCCUGACGGAGCAACGCCGCGUGAGUGAUGAAGGUCUUCGGAUCGUAAAACUCUGUUAUUAGGGAAGAACAUACGUGUAAGUAACUAUGCACGUCUUGACGGUACCUAAUCAGAAAGCCACGGCUAACUACGUGCCAGCAGCCGCGGUAAUACGUAGGUGGCAAGCGUUAUCCGGAAUUAUUGGGCGUAAAGCGCGCGUAGGCGGUUUUUUAAGUCUGAUGUGAAAGCCCACGGCUCAACCGUGGAGGGUCAUUGGAAACUGAAAACUUGAGUGCAGAAGAGGAAAGUGGAAUUCCAUGUGUAGCGGUGAAAUGCGCAGAGAUAUGGAGGAACACCAGUGGCGAAGGCGACUUUCUGGUCUGUAACUGACGCUGAUGUGCGAAAGCGUGGGGAUCAAACAGGAUUAGAUACCCUGGUAGUCCACGCCGUAAACGAUGAGUGCUAAGUGUUAGGGGGUUUCCGCCCCUUAGUGCUGCAGCUAACGCAUUAAGCACUCCCCGCCCU
RNAcentral lists this ribosomal RNA (890 nucleotides) under Staphylococcus hominis. RNAcentral describes it as "bacterial SSU rRNA". It matches the Rfam family "Bacterial small subunit ribosomal RNA", at positions 9 to 873 of the family's 1533-position model. The record is from RNAcentral. Lineage: Bacteria; Bacillati; Bacillota; Bacilli; Caryophanales; Staphylococcaceae.